This 598-nucleotide long non-coding RNA is filed under the name Brassica rapa (field mustard). Its description in RNAcentral is "long non-coding RNA (BRAP_LNC005436)". Lineage: Eukaryota; Viridiplantae; Streptophyta; Magnoliopsida; Brassicales; Brassicaceae. The record is from RNAcentral.
UUGAAUACGAUUAACCGGUUAGAUAAACGAUUAGCUUUAAUAAGAUAAAAAUUAGGACAACAUUCAAAAAGUGGAUAUACCAAAAAAGAGUAGAAAACAACAUUGAUUCCAUCGAGAUAUUUAGAAGAUUAGCCGGUUAAAACGGAGAAUGGAACGAGAUUUAACAAACUCUGAUAACUGUGGAUUCGUCGGUGAGGGGUUCAUCGCCGAGAUUGAACCGAUGAUUACGCUGGUGAUUCUUCAUCAGACAGGGGAACGGAAAGGAGAUGUCGGGGACUGAGACGGCAACGAGAGGUGUGAAACUGAAACCGGAACGAGGGUCUGAAACUGAAACCGGAACGAGAUAGUCGGAAGUUUUAUGAUACCAUAUUUCUGAUUUUGGAGGAAUUUGGAUGAAAGAGGUGAGUUGUGUUGUUUUUUUUUUUUUGACUAAAGGUGAGUUGUGUUGUUUUGCGGAGAAAACAAAGGUAGAGGAGAGAGAUGUAUGUAGUAAAUUCGAACUGUAUCGAUUGUAGUGAUAAUAUUACUCUUGCCUCACGCGUAAUGAUGAAAAGCUCUGGUAGGUAUCGAGCUAAUGUGUGUAGGGAUAGUAUUGUCA